This 1572-nucleotide long non-coding RNA is filed under the name Oryza sativa (Asian cultivated rice). Its description in RNAcentral is "long non-coding RNA (OSAT_LNC000430)". Lineage: Eukaryota; Viridiplantae; Streptophyta; Magnoliopsida; Poales; Poaceae. The record is from RNAcentral.
GCAGUUAUAGCUUUAGUAUUAUUAUUAUCAUAGGCUAAUACAAAUCUAAAGAGUGAUGGAGGCCCAAGGCACAAAAUCAAGUGCAAAACAGAUAAGAAAGUAGAAUGACCAGGCAAAUACUAUAAUAAAUAGAAAGAGGGAAAUCCAUCAUUGCCAUACAAUCGAAGAUACUACAUCUGCCACAUUGAAUGACCUGAAUUACAACAUGGUUUAUAAUCUUUCAGGCAACGGCGGUACAGCACAUAAUAUUACAUAGUCUUUGCCACCAUAUUAAUGAUACUAUCUUUGUUAUGUCCCCAAAUACCCCCAAAAAUUCAAAGUAUCUUUACAAAGUGCAGCUGCUCCCAGAUUCAUGCAUUAAAAGAAAAAGAGGAGUUACAAGCAACAAGAUAAACUUUUUUCUUUUUCCACAUGAGAUGCAGUGAUCGACAGUAGUCAAUACUCAGGUCAGCAUGCUAAAAAGUCAGAGAAAGUGAGCGAGAAUCAUUGUGAAUACUGAAUAGGACGAAAUUCGACAAGGUAAUUAAACAAGUCACAUCAUCCUAAUUCCCUUGACAAUGUUAGAAAGCCACACAAAUAUGACAUGCAUGAUCAAGUGGGAGUAAUUUUGCUAAAGAAGAAAAGUAAAUAAUAGGGAAAUGGGAGAGAUGGGAACUUGGAAAUCCCUUGACAAUGUUAGAAAGCCACAAACAAAUAUGACAUGCGUGAUCAAGUGGGAGUAAUUUUGGGAAAUGGGAGAGAUGGGAACUUGGAAAUGAAAUGGAAGUUUGAUGAGCAAUGUAGUGGAAGUAAUUUUGCUGAGGAAGAAAAGUAAAUAAUAGGGAAAUGCAAAAGAAAAGAAAAAUAAAUGGGUGCAGCAUCAUCUUGCAUCUUAAGUACUCAUUAGGUUUUCCACUUUCAGACCACGCCAGCAUCAUCUUGCCUGUAAGUACUAUGUUUAUACAAAGUAUUAGGUUUUCCACUUUCAGACCACGCCAGCAUCAUCUUGCAUGUAAGUACUAUGUUUAUACAAAGUAUUAGGUUUUCCAUUUUCAGACCACGCCAGCAUCAUCUUGUAUCUUGCAUCUUUAACUUAAGUACUAUGUUUAUAUAUAUCGGAUGGAUUGCAUAUAUGGUUGCUUAUCCAGCAUCAUCUUUCUUUGCAUCCUAAAUACUAUGUUUAACGAAGUAUAUAUCGGAUGGAUUGCAUAUAUGGUUGCUUAUCCAGCAUCAUCUUUGCAUCCUAAAUACUAUGUUUAACGAAGGAUUAGGUAUAUAUCAGAAGGAUUGCAUUGAUUAGGUUCUUUUCCAAAUAAAUACUAUGUUUAACGAAGGAUUAGGUAUAUAUCGGAAGGAUUGCAUUGAUUAGGUUCUUUUCCAAAUAAAUACUACAGAUCGUGUAUAACAAUCUGCAUUGUAAACAUCGAGGUAAAUCAGGUAGCAAUAGCAUAGAACAACAUCGCAUCAACCAACAAACAAAGGAAAUCAGGUAGCAAUAGCAUAUAACAACAUCGCAUCAACCAACAAACAAAUUACAGGAUAUUGCAGAUCAACCCCAACACUAACACGUCUCACUCACGCGGGGCACCUACC